AUUGUUAUGCUUCAUCGGGACUGAAGAAGAUAAUUGGAUGGAGGAACCUUCAGAGCCUAACCAAAUGGAUGGAAUGGCUUCUGUUUGUACAUAUGUGAAUUGCGGCCGGCAGGCAUAGAUAACAUUCAAUCUAUUGACAUAUGGCCUUAUUCAUCAAGGCUCUGGUUUAGUCGACGGGAUUUUCAAGGAAGAUGUGUGCUCUCCCCAAAAUUCACUCACCCAUAUAAACAAUAGACUAUGGAGACUUUGACUACCAAAUAUAUAUCAUAAACACCAAUGAAAUUUUUUCAACCAUAUUAUUGAUGUCCAAAAUUGAAUUCAAUUUAAAGGAAAUUGUCGGA
Molecule: non-coding RNA, 341 nt
Organism: Prunus avium (sweet cherry)
Lineage: Eukaryota; Viridiplantae; Streptophyta; Magnoliopsida; Rosales; Rosaceae
Source: RefSeq, a predicted model, not a curated record